This 27-nucleotide small RNA is filed under the name Bombyx mori (domestic silkworm). RNAcentral's name for it is "ovarian small RNA-18020". Lineage: Eukaryota; Metazoa; Arthropoda; Insecta; Lepidoptera; Bombycidae. The record is from RNAcentral.
UAAAACAAAUGCCAUUCUUCUUAAUAA